RNAcentral lists this non-coding RNA (63 nucleotides) under Scyphosphaera apsteinii. Lineage: Eukaryota; Haptophyta; Coccosphaerales; Pontosphaeraceae. The record is from RNAcentral.
UAUCCAGGUCGUAAAAUAAUGGGGAGAUAUGCAUUGCCUCAGGGCGGAGAUAUAGCAGUCAAG